Molecule: long non-coding RNA, 604 nt
Filed under: Equus asinus (donkey)
Lineage: Eukaryota; Metazoa; Chordata; Mammalia; Perissodactyla; Equidae
Description: lncRNA (ENSEASG00005034961.1)
Source: RNAcentral
CAGGUUUUGGUUGACAUGGAGGGUUUAAAGGAAGGAGGAUGGAGGAGAAUGCCACCAAAGAUAAGGAAAGAGAUGUUUGCACAACAGAGGACAAACAUUUCCUAUAUGACCAUUUUGCCAAGGGACAAUCUGGUCUCCAUAGAAGCUUUCAUUUCAUGAAGUCUUAUGAAGAGGCGGCAUCAAGAAUUUCAGUCAGGGUUCUUCAGAGAAACAAAACUAGAAACAGAACAGAUAAAUCCAUAUCUAUAUCCAUCUGUAUCUAGAGCUAUAUUAAGAGACUUACUAUAAGGAAUCCCUCACGUGCCUGAGGAGGCUGAGUCCCAGGAUCUGCCGUCAGCAUGCUGGAGACCUAGGAGAGCCGGUGGCGUAAGGGCCAGUCCCAGUAAGAAGGACUGAGAACCAGGAGGGCCGACGAUCCCAUGAUCUAUGACCAUGCUAACCUGCCUGGAACCCUAAACUCCCAGAACGUGGAAAUCUCCCAGAACUUGCCUUGAGAGUGAGCAACCUAGUGUAGUUUAAGAUUGCUUAUUUGAGGAGUGAUGUCGGUGACAUGAUGGAGUGAGCUCACCUGGGACUUUCUCCCCUCCAAAUUACAACCAAAAGG